GCCUCCUCCCCUCAUCGCCGCCCCUCGGCAGCCGUCCGUCCUGUAGGCAGACUCUCGCUGCCGCCCCCGUCUGGUCUACCCGCAGACCCGCCGCUCCCUCCUCACCGUCCUUCGGUUCUGCCCCUGCCGCCCCUCUCUCUUGCAGCGGAGCAGAAGCGGAAGCGCCGAGAGAAGAUCAACCGACGAUUCAUUGAGCUAUCCACUGUCAUCCCCGGCUUCGAGAAGUAGCAGGAAAAUCUCAAGGCACUCGAGGACGCAACCUCCAGAGCAUCCAGUCCACGGUGCUCAUCGGGAAGUUGUGCACAGCCGCGCCGGAAGGCGUCGGCGGCUGCUGCCCGCCAUCGUCUGCAGCGGCCGUAGCUGGAAGCACGACGCCGACGACCGGGAAAGUGCUGCUGGAGGCGAGAAGGACAAUUGGAGUCGCCGGCGUCGCUUAUGGAGCUCCACACCAUUGCCCAGUUGUACAAUAGCAUGUGCAAUCUUCUCCAUUCAAGACUAAUAAGUGCAAAUUGUGAACUCUUUGCCAAACAAGAAGAUAUGAGGAUCAGGCAUAUAGGCCCCAAUAAGGAACGUGGAGAGGUCAAUCUGGUCGAUUGUAGCCACAAGGGAUACUGCUGUAGUAUUUGGGGGAAAGAGUACGUCUGCACCUGAUGGUGAUAUGCCAAAGUUUUGUAUUUUCUAGGUAAAUUUGCUACAUGGGAAGAUUCC
Long non-coding RNA from Triticum aestivum (bread wheat), 708 nucleotides. RefSeq lists it as uncharacterized. The transcript has 5 exons. Lineage: Eukaryota; Viridiplantae; Streptophyta; Magnoliopsida; Poales; Poaceae. The record is from RefSeq and is a predicted model, not a curated record.